Molecule: ribosomal RNA, 468 nt
Filed under: uncultured bacterium
Lineage: Bacteria
Description: partial 16S ribosomal RNA
Rfam family: Bacterial small subunit ribosomal RNA
Source: RNAcentral
GACGAACGCUGGCGGCGUGCUUAACACAUGCAAGUCGAACGGAAAGGCCCUGCUUUUGUGGGGUGCUCGAGUGGCGAACGGGUGAGUAACACGUGAGUAACCUGCCCUUGACUGUGGGAUAACUUCAGGAAACUGGGGCGAAUACAGCAGAGGAGCUCCUGCUGCACGGGGGGGGUUGGAAAGUGUCGGCGGUUGGGGCUGGACUCGCGGCUUAUCAGCUUGUUGGUGGGGUAGUGGCUUACCAAGGCUUUGACGGGUAGCCGGCCUGGGAGGGUGGCCGGCCACAUUGGGACUGGGGUACGGCCCAGACUCCUACGGGAGGCAGCAGUGGGGAAUAUUGCACAAUGGGCGGAAGCCUGAUGCAGCAACGCCGCGUGCGGGAUGACGGCCUUCGGGUUGUAAACCGCUUUCGCCUGUGACGAAGCGUGAGUGACGGUAAUGGGUAAAGAAGCACCGGCUAACUACGUG